UAAUGUCGAUAAACUAGUUAGCACAUCAAGUGAACUACAAAAAGUAAUAUUGUGCUAACAUAAGAAACACAUUCAGUUUAACACUUAAACCACUGUUGCGAUACUGCAAAAGAGCCUAAAACUACAAAAUAUCAAAGUUACGACCACAAUAGCAUGCUCAUGUCAUAACAUAUUACCAAAAAAAUAAGCACGUUCAAAAAAAGUCGUUCUAGUACUAAAAACUAGUCUAAAACAACCAAAGUCAAGAGUCACUAUGCAAUGAAUGGUCGUCCAAGUUGUCAUCAUAAUGAGGAUGUGAAGGAGGCUGGGUGGCACUACAUGAUCCGUUACCCGAACGACGGUCGCGCUCCAUAACAAAUUUUUUAAAUUCAGCUAUUACAAUCAUCAUUUGCUUGUUUAGGUCUAUAGUCACUUGAGAUUGAGCUAAUGCAUCAUUAGCCUACUUCUCAGCUAUAGCAGCCUUCUCGUCAGCUCUAACUCUAGCUGCCCUCUCCGCCUCCAAAGACAUCUCAUACAUGGAACCAUGAUGAUCUUGAGAUUUUUGAGUAAAUGACGUGCACCCACGCCGAAGGUUGACAGACAAGUCUGUUGUACCAUAAACUCGACCACGAGUACGACCCCCUGCAGACUCGAUCCACAACCUAAGCUUUGUUCCUCCAUCAACCUCUUGCACACCAUCUCCAGCUGUUUCAUCAAUCUGAGCUUGUAUUGUACUCAAUAAACAAGUCAAACAAACAAACAAAUAAACAAAGCAGCGUGAUAGUGUUAUUGUUCUUUGAUUUUAUUGUGUUAUUGUUCAUUUCAUUCCAUUAAAA
This 815-nucleotide long non-coding RNA is filed under the name Medicago truncatula (barrel medic). RNAcentral's name for it is "long non-coding RNA (MTRU_LNC005153)". The record is from RNAcentral. Lineage: Eukaryota; Viridiplantae; Streptophyta; Magnoliopsida; Fabales; Fabaceae.